RNAcentral lists this ribosomal RNA (301 nucleotides) under uncultured bacterium. RNAcentral describes it as "partial 16S ribosomal RNA". It matches the Rfam family "Bacterial small subunit ribosomal RNA", at positions 509 to 807 of the family's 1533-position model. The record is from RNAcentral.
CAGCAGCCGCGGUAAUACAGAGGGUGCGAGCGUUAAUCGGAUUUACUGGGCGUAAAGCGUGCGUAGGCGGCUUCUUAAGUCGGAUGUGAAAUCCCUUAGCUUAACUUAGGAAUUGCAUUCGAUACUGGGAAGCUAGAGUAUGGGAGAGGAUGGUAGAAUUCCAGGUGUAGCGGUGAAAUGCGUAGAGAUCUGGAGGAAUACCGAUGGCGAAGGCAGCCAUCUGGCCUAAUACUGACGCUGAGGUACGAAAGCAUGGGGAGCAAACAGGAUUAGAUACCCCGGUAGUCCCUGUCUCUUAUAC